AUUGAACGCUGGCGGCAUGCCUUACACAUGCAAGUCGAACGGCAGCGCGGGGCAACCUGGCGGCGAGUGGCGAACGGGUGAGUAAUAUAUCGGAACAUACCCUAGAGUGGGGGAUAACGUAGCGAAAGUUACGCUAAUACCGCAUACGCACUAAGGUGGAAAGUGGGGGAUCUUCGGACCUCAUGCUCAUGGAGUGGCCGAUAUCUGAUUAGCUAGUUGGUGAGGUAAAGGCUCACCAAGGCGACGAUCAGUAGCUGGUUUGAGAGAACGACCAGCCACACUGGAACUGAGACACGGUCCAGACUCCUACGGGAGGCAGCAGUGGGGAAUUUUGGACAAUGGGGGCAACCCUGAUCCAGCAAUGCCGCGUGAGUGAAGAAGGCCUCGGGUUGU
This 393-nucleotide ribosomal RNA is filed under the name uncultured bacterium. Its description in RNAcentral is "bacterial SSU rRNA". It matches the Rfam family "Bacterial small subunit ribosomal RNA", at positions 30 to 426 of the family's 1533-position model. The record is from RNAcentral.